RNAcentral lists this transfer RNA (64 nucleotides) under Ochthebius colveranus. RNAcentral's name for it is "tRNA-His". The record is from RNAcentral. Lineage: Eukaryota; Metazoa; Arthropoda; Insecta; Coleoptera; Hydraenidae.
ACUUAAAUAGUUUAAUAAAAAUAUUGGCUUGUGGGGCCAAAGUUAUAAGAAUUUAUUUUAAGUA